UACGUAGGGUGCAAGCGUUGUCCGGAAUUAUUGGGCGUAAAGAGCUCGUAGGCGGUUCGUCGCGUCGGCUGUGAAAUCCCGGAGCUCAACUCCGGGUCUGCAGUCGAUAUGGGCGGACUCGAGUUCGGCAGGGGAGACUGGAAUUCCUGGUGUAGCGGUGAAAUGCGCAGAUAUCAGGAGGAACACCGAUGGCGAAGGCAGGUCUCUGGGCCGAUACUGACGCUGAGGAGCGAAAGCGUGGGGAGCGAACAGG
RNAcentral lists this ribosomal RNA (253 nucleotides) under uncultured bacterium. Its description in RNAcentral is "partial 16S ribosomal RNA". It matches the Rfam family "Bacterial small subunit ribosomal RNA", at positions 524 to 776 of the family's 1533-position model. The record is from RNAcentral.